RNAcentral lists this ribosomal RNA (497 nucleotides) under uncultured bacterium. RNAcentral describes it as "partial 16S ribosomal RNA". It matches the Rfam family "Bacterial small subunit ribosomal RNA", at positions 28 to 507 of the family's 1533-position model. The record is from RNAcentral.
GAUGAACGCUGGCGGCGUGCCUAAUACAUGCAAGUCGAGCGAACGGACGAGAAGCUUGCUUCUCUGAUGUUAGCGGCGGACGGGUGAGUAACACGUGGAUAACCUACCUAUAAGACUGGGAUAACUUCGGGAAACCGGAGCUAAUACCGGAUAAUAUUUUGAAACGCAUGGUUCAAAAGUGACAGACGGUCUUGCUGUCACUUAUAGAUGGAUCCGCGCUGCAUUAGCUAGUUGGUAAGGUAACGGCUUACCAAGGCAACGAUGCAUAGCCGAUCUGAGAGGGUGAUCAGCCACACUGGAACUGAGACACGGUCCAGACUCCUACGGGAGGCAGCAGUAGGGAAUCUUCCGCAAUGGGCGAAAGCCUGACGGAGCAAUGCCGCGUGAGUGAUGAAGGUCUUCGGAUCGUAAAACUCUGUUAUUAGGGAAGAACAUAUGUGUAUGUAACUGUGCACAUCUUGACGUUACCUAAUCAGAAAGCCACGGCUAACUACGUG